CUCCCUCGUUGCUGAUCUCAGGUUCGAUAAUGCCAAAUCGCACCACCUCGCCUAAAAACCAUCUUCGAUGAAGCGACGGGCGGUGUGUG
RNAcentral lists this ribosomal RNA (89 nucleotides) under uncultured archaeon. Its description in RNAcentral is "partial 16S ribosomal RNA". The record is from RNAcentral.